AUAGGUGGGAGGCUUUGAAACCAGGACGCCAGUUUUGGCGGAGCCAUCCUUGGGAUACCACCCUUGUAGUACUGGGACUCUAACCAUAGGCCAUGAAUCUGGUCUUGGGACACUGUCAGGUGGGCAGGUUGACUGGGGCGGUCGCCUCCCAAAAGGUAACGGAGGCGCGCAAAGGUUCUCUCAGUACGGUCGGAAAUCGUACGGAGAGUGUAAAGGCAAAAGAGAGCUUGAUUGCAAGACAUACAGGUCGAGCAAGGAUGAAAAUCGGACUUAGUGAUCCGGUGGUUCUGCGUGGA
RNAcentral lists this ribosomal RNA (296 nucleotides) under Clostridioides difficile. Its description in RNAcentral is "partial 23S ribosomal RNA". It matches the Rfam family "Bacterial large subunit ribosomal RNA", at positions 2143 to 2437 of the family's 2925-position model. The record is from RNAcentral. Lineage: Bacteria; Bacillati; Bacillota; Clostridia; Peptostreptococcales; Peptostreptococcaceae.